Molecule: ribosomal RNA, 441 nt
Filed under: uncultured bacterium
Lineage: Bacteria
Description: partial 16S ribosomal RNA
Rfam family: Bacterial small subunit ribosomal RNA
Source: RNAcentral
CCUACGGGAGGCAGCAGUGGGGAAUAUUGCACAAUGGGCGGAACCCUGAUCCAGCGACGCCGCGUGAGGGAAGAAGUCUUUCGGCUUGUAAAGCUCUAUUGGCAGGGAAGAAGCAAGACGGUACCCGACCAAAAAACCCCGGCUUACUACGGGUCAGCAGCCGCGGUUAUACGGUGGGGGCAAGCGUUUUCCGGAUUCACUGGGUGUAAAGGGAGGGUAGACGGGCAAGCAAGCCCGGGGUGAAAACCCGGGGCCGAACCCCCGGACUGCCCUUGGAACUGCAUGGCUUGAGUGAGGGAGAGGCAGGCGGAAUUCCUGGUGUAGCGGUGAAAUGCGUAGAUAUUGGGAGGAACACCAGUGGCGAAGGCGGCCUGCUGGACGGCAACUGACGGUGAGGCGCGAAAGCGUGGGGAGCGAACAGGAUUAGAUACCCUAGUAGUC